Molecule: ribosomal RNA, 285 nt
Filed under: uncultured bacterium
Lineage: Bacteria
Description: partial 16S ribosomal RNA
Source: RNAcentral
ACGNGCGAGUUAAAGAAUNCCAAACACUGGNGCAGGUCGGUUAUAAAAAGACCUAAACAACCUUAGAGCCUGGGUCAGUAUUUAACAANGAAAAAGACAAAACCAACACAAGCAAAAACAAAAAAGAUGCAAUGAGUCACAUCAAAAAAAAAAAACAAUAAACAACACGACAAAAACAACACAAAAACACGAAACAACAAAAAAAAAGAAAAAAANAACAAAAACGAACAUCAACAAAAACAAACAAAAACAAACAGAAAACAACAACAAAAACAAAAAAACAAA